Molecule: ribosomal RNA, 2672 nt
Filed under: Klebsiella pneumoniae
Lineage: Bacteria; Pseudomonadati; Pseudomonadota; Gammaproteobacteria; Enterobacterales; Enterobacteriaceae
Description: bacterial LSU rRNA
Rfam family: Bacterial large subunit ribosomal RNA
Source: RNAcentral
CACUAUCGUUAACUGAAUACAUAGGUUAACGAGGCGAACCGGGGGAACUGAAACAUCUAAGUACCCCGAGGAAAAGAAAUCAACCGAGAUUCCCCCAGUAGCGGCGAGCGAACGGGGAGCAGCCCAGAGUCUGAAUCAGCUUGUGUGUUAGUGGAACGGUCUGGAAAGUCCGACGGUACAGGGUGAUAGUCCCGUACACCAAAAUGCACAGGCUGUGAACUCGAAGAGUAGGGCGGGACACGUGGUAUCCUGUCUGAAUAUGGGGGGACCAUCCUCCAAGGCUAAAUACUCCUGACUGACCGAUAGUGAACCAGUACCGUGAGGGAAAGGCGAAAAGAACCCCGGCGAGGGGAGUGAAAAAGAACCUGAAACCGUGUACGUACAAGCAGUGGGAGCACCUUCGGGUGUGACUGCGUACCUUUUGUAUAAUGGGUCAGCGACUUAUAUUCUGUAGCAAGGUUAACCGUAUAGGGGAGCCGCAGGGAAACCGAGUCUUAACUGGGCGUUAAGUUGCAGGGUAUAGACCCGAAACCCGGUGAUCUAGCCAUGGGCAGGUUGAAGGUUGGGUAACACUAACUGGAGGACCGAACCGACUAAUGUUGAAAAAUUAGCGGAUGACUUGUGGCUGGGGGUGAAAGGCCAAUCAAACCGGGAGAUAGCUGGUUCUCCCCGAAAGCUAUUUAGGUAGCGCCUCGUGAACUCAUCUUCGGGGGUAGAGCACUGUUUCGGCUAGGGGGUCAUCCCGACUUACCAACCCGAUGCAAACUACGAAUACCGAAGAAUGUUAUCACGGGAGACACACGGCGGGUGCUAACGUCCGUCGUGAAGAGGGAAACAACCCAGACCGCCAGCUAAGGUCCCAAAGUCAUGGUUAAGUGGGAAACGAUGUGGGAAGGCACAGACAGCCAGGAUGUUGGCUUAGAAGCAGCCAUCAUUUAAAGAAAGCGUAAUAGCUCACUGGUCGAGUCGGCCUGCGCGGAAGAUGUAACGGGGCUAAACCAUGCACCGAAGCUGCGGCAGCGACACUAUGUGUUGUUGGGUAGGGGAGCGUUCUGUAAGCCUGCGAAGGUGUGCUGUGAGGCAUGCUGGAGGUAUCAGAAGUGCGAAUGCUGACAUAAGUAACGAUAAAGCGGGUGAAAAGCCCGCUCGCCGGAAGACCAAGGGUUCCUGUCCAACGUUAAUCGGGGCAGGGUGAGUCGACCCCUAAGGCGAGGCCGAAAGGCGUAGUCGAUGGGAAACAGGUUAAUAUUCCUGUACUUGGUGUUACUGCGAAGGGGGGACGGAGAAGGCUAUGUUAGCCGGGCGACGGUUGUCCCGGUUUAAGCAUGUAGGCUGAUUGUCCAGGCAAAUCCGGAUAAUCAAGGCUGAGGUGUGAUGACGAGGCACUACGGUGCUGAAGUAACAAAUGCCCUGCUUCCAGGAAAAGCCUCUAAGCAUCAGGUAACAUUAAAUCGUACCCCAAACCGACACAGGUGGUCAGGUAGAGAAUACCAAGGCGCUUGAGAGAACUCGGGUGAAGGAACUAGGCAAAAUGGUGCCGUAACUUCGGGAGAAGGCACGCUGGUGUGUAGGUGAAGCCCCUGCGGGUGGAGCUGAGACCAGUCGAAGAUACCAGCUGGCUGCAACUGUUUAUUAAAAACACAGCACUGUGCAAACACGAAAGUGGACGUAUACGGUGUGACGCCUGCCCGGUGCCGGAAGGUUAAUUGAUGGGGUUAUCCGUAAGGAGAAGCUCUUGAUCGAAGCCCCGGUAAACGGCGGCCGUAACUAUAACGGUCCUAAGGUAGCGAAAUUCCUUGUCGGGUAAGUUCCGACCUGCACGAAUGGCGUAAUGAUGGCCAGGCUGUCUCCACCCGAGACUCAGUGAAAUUGAACUCGCUGUGAAGAUGCAGUGUACCCGCGGCAAGACGGAAAGACCCCGUGAACCUUUACUAUAGCUUGACACUGAACAUUGAGCCUUGAUGUGUAGGAUAGGUGGGAGGCUUUGAAGCGUGGACGCCAGUCUGCGUGGAGCCAACCUUGAAAUACCACCCUUUAAUGUUUGAUGUUCUAACGUUGGCCCCUGACCGGGGUUGCGGACAGUGUCUGGUGGGUAGUUUGACUGGGGCGGUCUCCUCCCAAAGCGUAACGGAGGAGCACGAAGGUUAGCUAAUCCUGGUCGGACAUCAGGAGGUUAGUGCAAUGGCAUAAGCUAGCUUGACUGCGAGCGUGACGGCGCGAGCAGGUGCGAAAGCAGGUCAUAGUGAUCCGGUGGUUCUGAAUGGAAGGGCCAUCGCUCAACGGAUAAAAGGUACUCCGGGGAUAACAGGCUGAUACCGCCCAAGAGUUCAUAUCGACGGCGGUGUUUGGCACCUCGAUGUCGGCUCAUCACAUCCUGGGGCUGAAGUAGGUCCCAAGGGUAUGGCUGUUCGCCAUUUAAAGUGGUACGCGAGCUGGGUUUAGAACGUCGUGAGACAGUUCGGUCCCUAUCUGCCGUGGGCGCUGGAGAAUUGAGGGGGGCUGCUCCUAGUACGAGAGGACCGGAGUGGACGCAUCACUGGUGUUCGGGUUGUCAUGCCAAUGGCACUGCCCGGUAGCUAAAUGCGGAAGAGAUAAGUGCUGAAAGCAUCUAAGCACGAAACUUGCCCCGAGAUGAGUUCUCCCUGAGACUUUAAGUCUCCUGAAGGAACGUU